RNAcentral lists this ribosomal RNA (406 nucleotides) under uncultured bacterium. RNAcentral describes it as "partial 16S ribosomal RNA". It matches the Rfam family "Bacterial small subunit ribosomal RNA", at positions 30 to 526 of the family's 1533-position model. The record is from RNAcentral.
AUUGAACGCUGGCGGCAGGCCUAACACAUGCAAGUCGAACGAGUGGCGGACGGGUGAGUAAUGUCUGGGAAACUGCCCGAUGGAGGGGGAUAAUUACUGGAAACGGUAGUUAAUACCGCAUACCAUCGGAUGUGCCCAGAUGGGAUUAGCUAGUGGGUGGGGUAAUGGCUCACCUAGGCGACGAUCCCUAGCUGGUCUGAGAGGAUGACCGGGCACACUGGAACUGAGACACGGUCCAGACUCCUACGGGAGGCAGCAGUGGGGAAUAUUGCACAAUGGGCGCAAGCCUGAUGCAGCCAGGCCGCGUGUGUGAGGAAGGCCUUCGGGUUGUAAAGCUCUUUCAGCGGGGAGGCGUUACCCACAGAGGAAGCACCGGCUAACUCCGUGCCAGCAACCGCGGUAAUUC